CCUACGGGUGGCAGCAGUGGGGAAUAUUGCACAAUGGGGGAAACCCUGAUGCAGCAACGCCGCGUGAGUGAAGAAGUAUUUCGGUAUGUAAAGCUCUAUCAGCAGGGAAGAAGAAAGACGGUACCUGACUAAGAAGCCCCGGCUAACUACGUGCCAGCAGCCGCGGUAAUACGUAGGGGGCAAGCGUUGUCCGGAUUUACUGGGUGUAAAGGGCGUGCAGCCGGAGAGACAAGUCAGAUGUGAAAUCCGCAGGCUUAACCUGUAGAAAGCAUAUAAAACUGUUUAACUAGAGUGCAGGAGAGGUAAGUGGAAUUCCUAGUGUAGCGGUGAAAUGCGUAGAGAUUAGGAAGAACACCAGUGGCGAAGGCGACUUACUGGACUGUAACUGACGCUGAGGCAUGAGAGCAUGGGGAGCAAACAGGAUUAGAUACCCCAGUAGUC
RNAcentral lists this ribosomal RNA (441 nucleotides) under uncultured bacterium. RNAcentral's name for it is "partial 16S ribosomal RNA". It matches the Rfam family "Bacterial small subunit ribosomal RNA", at positions 338 to 795 of the family's 1533-position model. The record is from RNAcentral.